GAUGAACGCUGGCGGCGUGCCUAAUACAUGCAAGUCGAACGCUGGAAAUCUAGCUUGCUAGAUUGAAGGAGUGGCGAACGGGUGAGUAAUACAUAAGCAACCUACCCACGAAGACUGGGAUAAUCUCUGGAAACGGGGACUAAUACCGGAUAGGUAAUCGGAAGGCAUCUUCUGAUUAUUAAAGGUUAAAAACACUGGUGGAUGGGCUUAUGGCGCAUUAGUUAGUUGGUGAGGUAACGGCCCACCAAGACGAUGAUGCGUAGCCGGCCUGAGAGGGUGAACGGCCACAUUGGGACUGAGACACGGCCCAGACUCCUACGGGAGGCAGCAGUAGGGAAUUUUCGGCAAUGGGGGAAACCCUGACCGAGCAACGCCGCGUGAGUGAUGACGGCCUUCGGGUUGUAAAGCUCUGUUGUAAGGGAAGAACGGUAGAUAGAGAAUAUCUAAAUGACGGUACCUGACCAGAAAGCCACGGCUAACUACGUG
RNAcentral lists this ribosomal RNA (486 nucleotides) under uncultured bacterium. RNAcentral describes it as "partial 16S ribosomal RNA". It matches the Rfam family "Bacterial small subunit ribosomal RNA", at positions 28 to 507 of the family's 1533-position model. The record is from RNAcentral.